Molecule: ribosomal RNA, 396 nt
Filed under: uncultured bacterium
Lineage: Bacteria
Description: partial 16S ribosomal RNA
Rfam family: Bacterial small subunit ribosomal RNA
Source: RNAcentral
AUACGUAGGUGGCGAGCGUUGUCCGGAAUUAUUGGGCGUAAAGGGAGCGCAGGCGGGAGGCCAAGUCCAUCCUAAAAGUUCGGGGCUCAACCCCGGGAGGGGAUGGAAACUGGGCUUCUUGAGUGCAGGAGAGGAAAGCGGAAUUCCUAGUGUAGGGGUGAAAUGCGUAGAUAUUAGGAGAAACACCAGUGGCGAAGGCUGCUUUCUGGACUGUAACUGACGCUGAGGCGCGAAAGCCAGGGGAGCGAACGGGAUUAGAUGCCCCGGUAGUCCUGGCCGUAAACGAUGAAUGCUAGGUGUAUGAGGUAUCAACCCCUCCUGUGCCGGAGUUAACGCAAUAAGCAUUCCGCCUGGGGAGUACGGCCGCAAGGCUGAAACUCAAAUGAAUUGACGGGG